CAGCAGCCGCGGUAAUACGAAGGGUGCAAGCGUUAAUCGGAAUUACUGGGCGUAAAGCGUGCGUAGGCGGUUUGUUAAGUCUGUUGUGAAAUCCCCGGGCUCAACCUGGGAAUGGCAAUGGAUACUGGCAAGCUAGAGUGUGUCAGAGGAUGGUGGAAUUCCCGGUGUAGUGGUGAAAUGCGUAGAGAUCGGGAGGAACAUCAGUGGCGAAGGCGGCCAUCUGGGACAACACUGACGCUGAGGCACGAAAGCGUGGGGAGCAAACAGGAUUAGAUACCCCCGUAGUCCCUGUCUCUUAUAA
This 301-nucleotide ribosomal RNA is filed under the name uncultured bacterium. RNAcentral's name for it is "partial 16S ribosomal RNA". It matches the Rfam family "Bacterial small subunit ribosomal RNA", at positions 509 to 809 of the family's 1533-position model. The record is from RNAcentral.